UCCGUAGGGUGCAAGCGUUGUCCGGAAUUAUUGGGCGUAAAGAGCUCGUAGGCGGUCUGUCGCGUCUGCUGUGAAAAUCCAGGGCUCAACCCUGGACCUGCAGUGGGUACGGGCAGACUAGAGUGCGGUAGGGGAGAUCGGAAUUCCUGGUGUAGCGGUGAAAUGCGCAGAUAUCAGGAGGAACACGGGUGGCGAAGGCGGAUCUCUGGGCCGUAACUGACGCUGAGGAGCGAAAGCAUGGGGAGCGAACAGG
RNAcentral lists this ribosomal RNA (253 nucleotides) under uncultured bacterium. RNAcentral's name for it is "partial 16S ribosomal RNA". It matches the Rfam family "Bacterial small subunit ribosomal RNA", at positions 524 to 776 of the family's 1533-position model. The record is from RNAcentral.